CUUUGUAUCAGGCCUGACUACCAUAGAGAUUGUAACGAACUAACAUACGACGAGCAUUAAUACUGUUUUAAUAUUUUUCUCACUUUAGUUGUACGCUGACAUAUAUCUGAGAACGACAAUACCACGAGACAAACUCGACGAUAUAAACGAGAGACGAACUCAACGAUAUAAACUAUUUAAACAUUCACAGAAAUAUAAAAGACAUACAACUAAACGGGCAAGCAUAACAUAAUCACAGAUUUGUUUGGUGUGGUAGCAGGACGUUUAUAUAACGUAGAUAUAUAGCUCAGUGGAUGUAAAAUUGUGGUUCACAGCCCUACGUUUCAGGCUCGAACAUAAGGGUUUAGAUGGGGGGGAGGUAGGAUUGUGGUGGUCAUUAAAGAGAAGUAUAUAGAUCUGUGCUCGAUGAUGCAAGCAAAUUGUGUUAGUAUCAUUACGUCAUAACCAAAAUGGCGUCAAUGAGCCCCAUAUAUACAGUACCACAGAAUAAAGACAUACAGAAGUGUAUCUUCUUAUUAAAAGUGCGUAAGGGAUUUUUUCAGUCCGCCAUGUUCCUAACAAGUGCCCUGAAGAGAGGCAGUCACCCCCUGAAAACAUAUUGAAAAUUUAAUAUUCCAGGGGGGUGAAUGCCUCUCUUUAGGGCACUUGCUAAGAACAUGGCCGCCAGCUAUUUCGGUAAAAAAGCGC
Molecule: non-coding RNA, 687 nt
Organism: Paramuricea clavata
Lineage: Eukaryota; Metazoa; Cnidaria; Anthozoa; Malacalcyonacea; Plexauridae
Source: the annotation of a GenBank genome assembly